GUGAACGCUGGCGGUCGGCCUAACCCCUGCCAGUCGAACGGCAGCACAGUAAGAGCUUGCUCUUACGGGUGGCGAGUGGCGGACGGGUGAGGAAUACAUCGGAAUCUACUUUUUCGUGGGGGAUAACGUAGGGAAACUUACGCUAAUACCGCAUACGACCUACGGGUGAAAGCAGGGGAUCUUCGGACCUUGCGCGAUUGAAUGAGCCGAUGUCGGAUUAGCUAGUUGGCGGGGUAAAGGCCCACCAAGGCGACGAUCCGUAGCUGGUCUGAGAGGAUGAUAGCCCGACGUGGAAGUGAACACGGGACCAGGCUCCUGCGGGAGGCACCAGAGGGGAAUGUGGGACAGUGGGGGCAAACCUGGCCCAACCGUCCCGCGUGGGAGAAAAAGGCCUCGGGGUUGUAAAGCCGUUUUGUUGGGAAAAAAAAGCGGCGGGUUAAGACCCCGCGGUAGUGACGGUACCUAAAGAAAAAGCACCGGCUAACUACGUG
RNAcentral lists this ribosomal RNA (491 nucleotides) under uncultured bacterium. RNAcentral describes it as "partial 16S ribosomal RNA". It matches the Rfam family "Bacterial small subunit ribosomal RNA", at positions 29 to 507 of the family's 1533-position model. The record is from RNAcentral.